GCCCCCUUAGCUCAGUCGGCCAGAGCAUCUGUCUUGUAAACAGAGGGUCGCCGGUUCGAAUCCGGCAGGGGGCU
Molecule: non-coding RNA, 74 nt
Organism: Tersicoccus sp. Bi-70
Lineage: Bacteria; Bacillati; Actinomycetota; Actinomycetes; Micrococcales; Micrococcaceae
Source: Rfam